GGAUUAGAUACCCUGGUAGUCCACGCUGUAAACGAUGAGUGCUAGAUAUCGGGGUUUUUUCUUCGGUGUCGCAGCUAACGCGUUAAGCGCUCCGCCUGGGGAGUACGAUCGCAAGAUUAAAACUCAAAGGAAUUGACGGGGGCCCGCACAAGCGGUGGAGCAUGUGGUUUAAUUCGAAAAUACACGAAGAACCUUACCAAGUCUUGACAUAAGGAUUUUAGCUUUUAGAAAUUUAAGCUUCGGUUCGGCCGGGUCCUAUACAGGUGCUGCAUGGCUGUCGUCAGCUCGUGCCG
Molecule: ribosomal RNA, 293 nt
Filed under: uncultured bacterium
Lineage: Bacteria
Description: partial 16S ribosomal RNA
Rfam family: Bacterial small subunit ribosomal RNA
Source: RNAcentral